This 568-nucleotide long non-coding RNA is filed under the name Rattus norvegicus (Norway rat). RNAcentral's name for it is "long non-coding RNA NONRATT000383". Lineage: Eukaryota; Metazoa; Chordata; Mammalia; Rodentia; Muridae. The record is from RNAcentral.
GAGCCUGUGGUACAGCCCACCCUCCAAGCAGACAGCACCACAGUAACAGAAGCUGGUUCUGUGACCCUCACCUGCCUCUCAGAAGACCCUGGACUCUCCAUCCGUUGGUUCUUCAAUCACCAGGGCCUGUAUUUCAAUGACAGGAUGACUUUGUCCCAGAAAAACAGCAGACUCAGCAUAGACCGAGCCAGGUGGGAGGAUGCCGGGGAGUAUCAGUGUGAGGUCUCCAAUGGGUACAGCUCUAAGAUGAGCCUCCCAGUCCAAAUAUCUGUGGUGAGUGAGUGACCUUGCCUCUCGUCGUGUGCCGCAGUGGGGAGACUUGUUUGUCAAUAAGAAAAGUGAAGAAAAAUUCUAGGGAAGACACCAAGACAGCCAGCGUGGUGAUGAAGACCUGCCAUCUCAGGAUAAAACACGAGUCAGGGGGCUGGAGAGAUGGCUCAGAGGUUAAGUGCACUGACUGCUUUUCCAGAGGUCCUGAGUUCAAUUCCCAGCAACCACAUGGUGGCUCAUGACCAUCUGUAAUGGCCCUCUUCUGGUGUUAUAAAUAAAUCUUAAAAAAAAAAAAAUC